RNAcentral lists this ribosomal RNA (1153 nucleotides) under Chloroparvula japonica. RNAcentral's name for it is "partial Bacterial small subunit ribosomal RNA". It matches the Rfam family "Bacterial small subunit ribosomal RNA", at positions 1 to 1186 of the family's 1533-position model. The record is from RNAcentral. Lineage: Eukaryota; Viridiplantae; Chlorophyta; Chloropicophyceae; Chloropicales; Chloropicaceae.
UUGAAGAGUUUGAUCCUGGCUCAGCGCGAACGCUGGCGGCAUGGUUAAAACAUGCAAGUCGAGCGCGAAAGUCCCUUCGGGGGCGAGUAGAGCGGCGAAAGGGCGAGUAAUGCGUUCCUACGUACCCUCAGGUCAGGGAUAGCCCGGGGAAACCCGGAUUAAUACCUGAUGUGGUCCUUCGGGAUCAAAGGCUUGCCGCCUGAGGAGCGGGGAACGUCCUAUCAGGUUGUUGGUGAGGUAACGGCUCACCAAGCCGAAGACGGGUAGCGGGUGUGAGAGCAUGACCCGCCGCAUCGGGACUGAGACACUGCCCGGACUCCUACGGGAGGCUGCAGUAACGAAUCUUCCGCAAUGCGCGAAAGCGUGACGGAGCAAUGCCGCGUGCAGGAUGAAGCCCCUCGGGGUGUAAACUGCUGUCAGGGUUCAGCAACUCAAUGAGCAGACCCAAAGGAAGGGCCGGCUAACUUCGUGCCAGCAGCCGCGGUAAUACGAAGGGCCCGAGCGUUGCGCGGAAUCACUGGGCUUAAAGCGUGCGCAGGCGGACCAGCAGGCGUCUUGUGAAAGCCCUCGGCUCAACCGGGGAAUUGCAGGACGAACCGCUGGUCUUGAGGCAGGUAGGGGCCAUCGGAACGAUAGGUGGAGUGGUGAAAUGCGUUGAUAUCUAUCGGAACACCAAAGGUGAAAACAGGUGGCUGGGCCUGUCCUGACGCUCAUGCACGAAAGCGUGGGGAGCGAACGGGAUUAGAUACCCCGGUAGUCCACGCCGUAAACGAUGCACACUAGUUCGUGGGAUCUCUCAUGAUUUCGCGGACGAAGGUAAACUAGUUAGUGUGCCGCCUGGGGAGUACGGUCGCAAGGCUAAAACUCAAAGGAAUUGACGGGGGCUCACACAAGCGGUGGAGCAUGUUGCUUAAUUCGAGGCAACGCGAAGAACCUUACCUGGGCUUGACAUGUAUGGAUUAGCUCUUGGAAACAAGAGUGACGCCCUUGGGUGGAACAUACACAGGUGCUGCAUGGCUGUCGUCAGCUCGUGUCGUGAGAUGUUGGGUUAAGUCCCGCAACGAGCGCAACCCUCGCCCUUAGUUGCCAGCAUUUAGUUGGGCACUCUAGGGGGACUGCCGGUGAUAAGCCGGAGGAAGGUGGGGAUGACGUC